RNAcentral lists this transfer RNA (66 nucleotides) under Ochthebius sp. IBE<ESP> AV177. RNAcentral's name for it is "tRNA-His". Lineage: Eukaryota; Metazoa; Arthropoda; Insecta; Coleoptera; Hydraenidae. The record is from RNAcentral.
AUCUAAAUAGUUUAAUAAAAAUAUUAAUUUGUGGAAUUAGUGAUAUAUAAUUAUAUAUUUUAGGUA